This 1047-nucleotide ribosomal RNA is filed under the name Enterococcus sp. VRE191bB1_13_3E. Its description in RNAcentral is "bacterial SSU rRNA". It matches the Rfam family "Bacterial small subunit ribosomal RNA", at positions 56 to 1073 of the family's 1533-position model. Lineage: Bacteria; Bacillati; Bacillota; Bacilli; Lactobacillales; Enterococcaceae. The record is from RNAcentral.
UGCAAGUCGAACGCUUUUUCUUUCACCGGAGCUUGCUCCACCGAAAGAAAAAGAGUGGCGAACGGGUGAGUAACACGUGGGUAACCUGCCCAUCAGAAGGGGAUAACACUUGGAAACAGGUGCUAAUACCGUAUAACACUAUUUUCCGCAUGGAAGAAAGUUGAAAGGCGCUUUUGCGUCACUGAUGGAUGGACCCGCGGUGCAUUAGCUAGUUGGUGAGGUAACGGCUCACCAAGGCCACGAUGCAUAGCCGACCUGAGAGGGUGAUCGGCCACACUGGGACUGAGACACGGCCCAGACUCCUACGGGAGGCAGCAGUAGGGAAUCUUCGGCAAUGGACGAAAGUCUGACCGAGCAACGCCGCGUGAGUGAAGAAGGUUUUCGGAUCGUAAAACUCUGUUGUUAGAGAAGAACAAGGAUGAGAGUAGAACGUUCAUCCCUUGACGGUAUCUAACCAGAAAGCCACGGCUAACUACGUGCCAGCAGCCGCGGUAAUACGUAGGUGGCAAGCGUUGUCCGGAUUUAUUGGGCGUAAAGCGAGCGCAGGCGGUUUCUUAAGUCUGAUGUGAAAGCCCCCGGCUCAACCGGGGAGGGUCAUUGGAAACUGGGAGACUUGAGUGCAGAAGAGGAGAGUGGAAUUCCAUGUGUAGCGGUGAAAUGCGUAGAUAUAUGGAGGAACACCAGUGGCGAAGGCGGCUCUCUGGUCUGUAACUGACGCUGAGGCUCGAAAGCGUGGGGAGCGAACAGGAUUAGAUACCCUGGUAGUCCACGCCGUAAACGAUGAGUGCUAAGUGUUGGAGGGUUUCCGCCCUUCAGUGCUGCAGCAAACGCAUUAAGCACUCCGCCUGGGGAGUACGACCGCAAGGUUGAAACUCAAAGGAAUUGACGGGGGCCCGCACAAGCGGUGGAGCAUGUGGUUUAAUUCGAAGCAACGCGAAGAACCUUACCAGGUCUUGACAUCCUUUGACCACUCUAGAGAUAGAGCUUCCCCUUCGGGGGCAAAGUGACAGGUGGGUGCAUGGUUGUCGUCAGCUCGUGUCGUGAGAU